GACGAACGCUGGCGGCGUGCUUAACACAUGCAAGUCGAACGGAAAGGCCCUGAUUUUGUGGGGUGCUCGAGUGGCGAACGGGUGAGUAACACGUGAGUAACCUGCCCUUGUCUUUGGGAUAACUUCAGGAAACUGGGGCUCAUACCGGAUAGGAUCUCCUGCUGCAUGGUGGGGGAUGGAAAGUUUCGGCGGUUGGGGAUGGUCUGGAGGGUUAUGAGCUUGUUGGUGGGGUAGUGGCUUACCAAGGUUUUGAGGGGUAGCCGGCCUGAGAGGGUGACCGGGCUCAUGGCUACUGCGAGAGGGCCCAGUCUCGAACGGUACGCAGCGGUGGAAAAUAUUGCACAAUGGCGCGGAGUGAGUGGCAAAGGUGUCCGGUUCGGGAUGACGGCCUUCGAGUUAUAAACCACUGUGUCCGGAGACGAGGCGGGAUUGACGGUAAUGAGUAAGGAAGCACCGGCUAACUACGUG
Molecule: ribosomal RNA, 468 nt
Filed under: uncultured bacterium
Lineage: Bacteria
Description: partial 16S ribosomal RNA
Rfam family: Bacterial small subunit ribosomal RNA
Source: RNAcentral